This 492-nucleotide ribosomal RNA is filed under the name uncultured bacterium. RNAcentral's name for it is "partial 16S ribosomal RNA". It matches the Rfam family "Bacterial small subunit ribosomal RNA", at positions 29 to 507 of the family's 1533-position model. The record is from RNAcentral.
AGUGAACGCUGGCGGUAGGCCUAACACAUGCAAGUCGAACGGCAGCACAGUAAGAGCUUGCUCUUACGGGUGGCGAGUGGCGGACGGGUGAGGAAUACAUCGGAAUCUACUUUUUCGUGGGGGAUAACGUAGGGAAACUUACGCUAAUACCGCAUACGACCUACGGGUGAAAGCAGGGGAUCUUCGGACCUUGCGCGAUUGAAUGAGCCGAUGUCGGAUUAGCUAGUUGGCGGGGUAAAGGCCCACCAAGGCGACGAUCCGUAGCUGGUCUGAGAGGAUGAUCAGCCACACUGGAACUGAGACACGGUCCAGACGCCUAAGGGAGGCAGCAGUGGGGAAUAUUGGACAAUGGGCGCAAGCCUGAUCCAGCCAUACCGCGUGGGUGAAGAAGGCCUUCGGGUUGUAAAGCCCUUUUGUUUGGAAAGAAAAGCAGCAGGUUAAUACCCCGCUGUUCUGACGGUACCCAAAGAAUAAGCACCGGCUAACUUCGUG